GAUGAAGAACGUAGCGAAAUGCGAUAAGUAAUGUGAAUUGCAGAAUUCAGUGAAUCAUCGAAUCUUUGAACGCACAUUGCGUCCCCUGGUAUUCCGGGGGGCAUGCCUGUUCGAGCGUCAUUUCACCACUCAAGCCUCGCUUGGUAUUGGGCAACGCGGUCCGCCGCGUGCCUCAAAUCGUCCGGCUGGGUCUUCUGUCCCCUAAGCGUUGUGGAAACUAUUCGCUAAAGGGUGUUCGGGAGGCUACGCCGUAAAACAACCCCAUUUCUAAGGUUGACCUCGGAUCAGGUAGGGAUACCCGCUGAACUUAAGCAUAUCAAUAAGCGGAGGA
RNAcentral lists this unclassified non-coding RNA (331 nucleotides) under soil metagenome. Its description in RNAcentral is "partial contains 5.8S ribosomal RNA, internal transcribed spacer 2, and large subunit ribosomal RNA". The stretch from base 1 to 120 matches the Rfam family "5.8S ribosomal RNA", at positions 35 to 154 of the family's 154-position model. The record is from RNAcentral.